RNAcentral lists this small RNA (677 nucleotides) under Pan troglodytes (chimpanzee). RNAcentral describes it as "retained intron". Lineage: Eukaryota; Metazoa; Chordata; Mammalia; Primates; Hominidae. The record is from RNAcentral.
GUGAAUUACGGGGCCAUGGAUGUGGACACCAUGGAGGGGGAAGUGGAGCGUUUUCAGUGGAGUUGGCUCCUCCCCGCACUGAGCCGUGUUCCUAUGUCAGGUGGCAGCGGGGAAGCGAGGGUCCAAUCCUGCCCUGCGCUAGUCCUCAUCUGAGUCUCAGCCUGGGUCCCCCAUGGUUUUAGCAACACGGGUGGCGAGCAGAUCAACCAGGUGGCAUUGGAGGCGUGGCGCAGCCGGCGGGACCGCGAGGAGAUCCUCCUGCAGGAGCUGGAGCCGGUCAUCUCCCGCGCGGUGCUGGACAACCCGCACCAUGGCUUCUCAAACUCGGGCAUCAUGGAAGAGCGCCUCCUAGACGCAGUGGUGCCCUUCCUCCCGCUCCAGCGGCACCACGUCCGGCACUGCGUGCUCAACGAGCUGGCCCAGCUGGGCCUGGAGCCAAGGGAUGAGGUUGUCCAGGCUGUGCUGGACAGCACCACCUUCUUCCCUGAAGACGAGCAGCUCUUCUCCUCCAACGGCUGCAAGACCGUGGCCUCCCGAAUCGCCUUCUUCCUCUGACUCUCUGAGUGGUGUCCUCGGCGCCCCUGAUGGCCAGGCCAUGCAGGAAAGGCCUGGGGCCUCUGUCACAGGAACCCAGAGCACCAAGUGAGAUGAACGGAGUGUCGGCUAGGCCACGGGAC